RNAcentral lists this ribosomal RNA (253 nucleotides) under uncultured bacterium. Its description in RNAcentral is "partial 16S ribosomal RNA". It matches the Rfam family "Bacterial small subunit ribosomal RNA", at positions 524 to 776 of the family's 1533-position model. The record is from RNAcentral.
UACGUAGGCAGCAAGCGUUGUUCGGAGUUACUGGGCGUAAAGGGUGUGUAGGCGGUUGUUUAAGUUUGGUGUGAAAUCUCCCGGCUCAACUGGGAGGGUGCGCCGAAUACUGAAUGACUAGAGUGCGGGAGAGGAAAGUGGAAUUCCUGGUGUAGCGGUGAAAUGCGUAGAUAUCAGGAGGAACACCGGUGGUGUAGACGGCUUUCUGGACCGUAACUGACGCUGAGACACGAAAGCUUGGGUAGCAAACAGG